RNAcentral lists this ribosomal RNA (446 nucleotides) under uncultured fungus. Its description in RNAcentral is "bacterial SSU rRNA". The stretch from base 1 to 308 matches the Rfam family "Eukaryotic small subunit ribosomal RNA", at positions 300 to 599 of the family's 1831-position model. Lineage: Eukaryota; Fungi. The record is from RNAcentral.
CAAAUUUCUGCCCUAUCAACUUUCGAUGGUAGAGUAGUGGUCUACCAUGGUUUCAACGGGUAACGGGGAAUUAGGGUUCUAUUCCGGAGAGGGAGCCUGAGAAACGGCUACCACAUCCAAGGAAGGCAGCAGGCGCGCAAAUUACCCAAUCCCGACACGGGGAGGUAGUGACAACUAAAUACUGAUACAGGGCUCUUCUUGGGUCUUGUAACUUCGGAACUGAGUACAACUUUAAAUCCCUUAACCGAGGAACAAUUGGAGGGCAAGUCUGGUGCCAGCAGCCGCGGUAAAUUCCAGCUCCAAUAGCGCUAUAUUACACACGUCUGUUGCACGUCUAACAAAGCUCGUAGUUGAACCUUGGCGCCUGGCCUGGCCGGCUCCGCCCUCACCGCCGUGCGCCUGCGCUCCGGCCGGCGCUCUUUCCCUUCUGGGGACGCCCGCAUGCC